CGGUAAAAUACCCGUACCAUCAAAUAAGCCUUGAACUUCCACUUCCACUUCUUGAAGGGAGAGCACACUACCGCUAGUUCUUUGGAAUCUGAUUAAGCAUUUGAUCUUGGCGCUGUUCUCUCUCUAUCAAUCCAGUCUUCCAGCUACCCGGUGCUCUUCUCUGGUCUUCCACUCUGGUAUUACUAUUAAUGGUCUUCAACUCUGGUAUUCGACUUCUAGUAUUCUACUUCUAAGUGGUCCAGGGCUUCUGCCGCGCUACUACUCAAUCAUUAGCCAGGAAUUGCUUCCCUACCCG
RNAcentral lists this long non-coding RNA (295 nucleotides) under Musa acuminata (dwarf banana). RNAcentral's name for it is "long non-coding RNA (MACU_LNC007863)". Lineage: Eukaryota; Viridiplantae; Streptophyta; Magnoliopsida; Zingiberales; Musaceae. The record is from RNAcentral.